CAGCCGCCGCGGUAAUACGUAGGGUGCAAGCGUUAAUCGGAAUUACUGGGCGUAAAGCGUGCGCAGGCGGUCCGCUAAGACAGAUGUGAAAUCCCCGGGCUUAACCUGGGAACUGCAUUUGUGACUGGCGGGCUAGAGUAUGGCAGAGGGGGGUAGAAUUCCACGUGUAGCAGUGAAAUGCAUAGAGAUGUGGAGGAAUACCGAUGGCGAAGGCAGCCCCCUGGGCCAAUACUGACGCUCAUGCACGAAAGCGUGGGGAGCAAACAGGAUUAGAGACCCCUGUAGUCCCUGUCUCUUAUAC
This 301-nucleotide ribosomal RNA is filed under the name uncultured bacterium. RNAcentral's name for it is "partial 16S ribosomal RNA". It matches the Rfam family "Bacterial small subunit ribosomal RNA", at positions 509 to 807 of the family's 1533-position model. The record is from RNAcentral.